This is an RNA transcript of Populus nigra (black poplar), 2301 nucleotides long. It is a transcript of the gene named protein MAINTENANCE OF PSII UNDER HIGH LIGHT 1-like, with no coding region annotated. The transcript is spliced from 3 exons. The record is from RefSeq and is a predicted model, not a curated record. NCBI's taxonomy places the organism in Eukaryota, Viridiplantae, Streptophyta, Magnoliopsida, Malpighiales, Salicaceae.
CAAUAGCCCAAAAAACAAAUCUUAGCGUAUGCUUCUUUAGAGAAUCCAACCCCCGAAAGAACAUGUUCCAGGUAACCAAUCAAAGUCCACCACAAAAGACCCAUCCCCAUGAACAUCUCUUACACCCCCACUAAAAUCUCUCAUUUCUCUCACUCAACUCCAGCCCUGAAACCCCUUCAAGACCCCGAGAGCCACAAGUUCUUGAGCACCGAGUACCAACUCGACUGUUGUUCUUUUUGAGGUCAUAUCUGCUGACCCCUGGUAUCCUUCAAUUUGGUAAAAAGGAAAUAACUUGUGCCUCACAGGCAAUGUUAUCAGCAAACACUUGCACACUCACUUCGAAAAGACUUUUCAAGAAAUACACGUGGAAGUAAGAGAAACUUGAAGCUUUUCACUAUCAGAGCUUCCUCUGAUGACUCUGACUGUAAUACAGAAGAAUGUGCCCCAGAAAAAGAGGUUGGGAUGGUGAGUUUGGAGUGGUUGGCUGGGGAGAAAACCAAAGUCGUCGGGACAGUCCCACAGCGGACUCGUGGUUGGACAGGGUAUGUUGAGAAAGAUACUGCGGGGCAGACAGAUAUCUAUUCUGUUGAGGCUAGUUAUCUUCAUGUUUUCCUAUAAUCUGUCUUCUUUCAAGUUUGUUACUGUAUACAGAAAAGAAACACCCAGAGCAGCUGCUGCUGCUCUUGACAUAGCAUAUUAAACGCAUUGCCUGUUAACCAUAGUAAUUGUCAAGGCUCAAUUCUAAUGAAACCUGAAUAAUCCAAAGGUUGAAACCAUAAGUGUGCCUCAAUUAGCUAUGAAAAUGGUAAUGUUCCAGCGGUGAUGAAUUAACUCUAUGUAAUAUGUAUCAACAGUUGUUUCAAAUGAAUCAGUUUUCAUCCUUGAAGCGAUCCACUGUUGUGAUUUUGUUAUAUUUGAGAGCUGAUAAAUAUCCAUGGAAAAGUUUAGCUGGGAAUCAAGGAUUGCCCAUCCUCUGAGUUGUGUUGCUUGUACUAUAGUCCAGAAGUCCUGAUAUUAGUUACCUCUCGCUUCCUCUCAAAGGAGGUUCUCCUUAUGUUUCAUAAUAGUUAAAUAUGGAUUUUCAAUGAAACAUACUGUCUCUAGAUGUGGCAGGAGAUAGGGGUUGGUUCAUGCCAAAAACCAAUCCCAAAGCCAUCAUUGAUACUAUAAUGUGCUCGAAAUACAUCUUCCGUGCUUUGUAGCUGUCAAGGAUACUUCUGUAGUUUGUAUAUGCUAUCAAUUAAGGAAUUCGCCUUAAUUUUAGUGAAUUGAGAGUGAUUGUAAAACUGCAUUGCAUUCAAUUGUCCUUCUGUGUGAUGUAGCAACUGGAGUGAAGAGUAAAGUUUCUGUGUCUAUGUUCCCAAGAACAGAAUAGAGUGCACUGCAGUAUUUCUUUUUCAUUGUUUUUGGUGGAUUUACAUCCAUAUGGCGGAUGGCGAGUGAAGGAUAUUCGUGCUGUUGUUUGCAUGCAUCAGUAAAUGUCCCAGGGGCAGGAUUCUUGAUUCUGGAUUGCUCAUUGUUUCGUAUGAGGAAGACUAUUAUCAGUUUCUCUUCAUAAUAAGUUGUUAUGCCUGCAGUUUAUGUAGCAGAAAGUGCAAUUAGUUCAUUUCUUCAUCUUCUUGUUGGUAAGAGCCCAUCUGACAUAACAACAGCCGAAUAUAAUGGGCCAUGGCCAUCUCUCAGUUACUACAUCAACAAAUUUAAGCCAGCAGAAAUUAUCCAAGCUGCAGUGCCAAGCCUAACAGAAUCCAUACAUGCAGAAAGCUCCACACCAGAUUUUUCCAAGAAACAGAUUCAAUCCGCACCAGAAGUUUCUGCAAUACAGGUUCAAUCUCAGUAUGAACCUGAGCCUUCCACUACAAGUGUGAGCAGUGUUUCUUUGGCUAAUUAAACUAGUUCAGUUUCUUGAACUGGAGAAACACAAUUUUUUUUUCUUCCACGCUGCUGACAUAUAUACUCAGAAAACAAAGAAAAAGCUAUUAACAACGAGGCAUGCUCAAUAUGUAUAGCAUGAACAUAAACAAGCAAAUAGCAUUACGGUAUUUUUUGCAGCAACAAAAAAUAAAAUCAUGCUAUCCAUAUCAUAUGUUAAUAGAUGUGCUACCUAUAUUUUCUGUAUUCACCAUCAAACUGAUAUGUUCAUAUUUACUGGUGUUUGUAAGUGUGUGUGUGUGUGUGUGUGUGUGUGUGUGUGUGAAUUGGGUUCAUUAUUUUGUAAGAUUUGGAUUAGUUGAUGGAAUAUUUUAAUUUAAUAUUAUGAUAACCUUAAAGCUUCUGCAUGGUUGCUCUUUGGUCUGUUUA